AUGUUCAACGUUCCGGCUUCUCUCAAGAGCAUGGAGAUUUGGUCGUGUUUUAAGCUUGAGUCCAUAUUCGGCAAGCAACAAGGCAUCUCAGUGUUAGUUGAAGGGUCUUCUUGCAGUGAGGCAAUCGUGCCCGCAGCUUUAUCAGAGAUGCCAUCCUCACACAUGAAUCACUUCUGUCCAUGCCUAGAAUAUGUAGGGUUGUAUUACUGUGGAAGUUUAACAGCAGUUUUAAAUCUGCCCCCAUCUUUAAAGGCCAUAUUUAUUAAAGGCUGCGAUAGUGUUCAAGUACUAUCAUGUCAGCCGGGCGGACUCUAG
RNAcentral lists this ribosomal RNA (315 nucleotides) under Triticum aestivum (bread wheat). Its description in RNAcentral is "partial small subunit ribosomal RNA". Lineage: Eukaryota; Viridiplantae; Streptophyta; Magnoliopsida; Poales; Poaceae. The record is from RNAcentral.